GUAUCGUACCAAGCAUCGAGACAGUAAUCUUCUAGACUUCUACUCGUUAACGUGAUCUCGAUACAAGUAAAAUACUUAACACAGUCUUAUAUUCAAAAUUAACUAUAUAUAUGUCGGUAUUUCAGAACGUGAGACACGAAGUCCUACCAUCGACGAGGUACAGAGUAGACGCGAUCAUCACUAAUAGCAUUUUUGUAUCGCAUGCGAUGUUAUCGAUCCAGAAUAGUAGUGGUUUGAAUUGAAAUUAUAUUUUCAUAAAACUAAAUUUUCCGUUCAAAAAUUUCCGUUCGUAAAUUAUAAACAUUAUAGUUUACGAUUCAAAUGUGAGUGAUUAACUGGAUUAUGUAUAACUAAUCGUUUCUUUGAUCUUUUACCGACGAAUCAUCGACGGAUCCUAUCAGUCUCCAAUAUCGCUGUGCAAUAAUUUAGAUAGAAUUAACUUUAAUUAUAAAGAUUAUUGUAUAAUUUUUUAAAUUCAAUCAAUAAAUAGGUUUUUUUCAA
This is a long non-coding RNA of Bombus pascuorum, 501 nucleotides long. RefSeq lists it as uncharacterized. The transcript is spliced from 2 exons. The record is from RefSeq and is a predicted model, not a curated record. NCBI's taxonomy places the organism in Eukaryota, Metazoa, Arthropoda, Insecta, Hymenoptera, Apidae.